Molecule: long non-coding RNA, 631 nt
Organism: Homo sapiens (human)
Lineage: Eukaryota; Metazoa; Chordata; Mammalia; Primates; Hominidae
Exons: 2
Source: RefSeq, marked validated
GAAGCUAGAGGAGGUAGGAAGUGGCUUCAUGGCAACACUGCAGCUGUGCUUUUCAUGAUCAUUAAUGGAUCUGAUGGAAUAAGACAGUGGAAAAUGGAGGAGGAGGAAGGGGCACACAGGAAGACAAAGUGCGCUGAAAGAAGAAAGAAGCCUAGAAAAUAGCACAGAAUACUGAGAGACACAGAAGAGAACACGAAGAGAUUGCAAUGGGACUGGGACUUGGAACCACUUUCUGUACAUGUUGUUUUAAGUAUUAAUUUUUGUGUAAAUGGCAUAUAAGAUCCUCAUCCACCAUCUACAUAAAAGAUUGUGGUGCCAAACAGGACUGCCCCGUGUGGGCUUUGUUUCCAAGUCAGCUUUCUCACAAGCAUCUCUCCAUUUUCUGACAAAUGAACGGAACAAGUUCAUUGGAACAAGGAGGGUGUAUUGUCUCUAUUUGCCGUUGGCUGGUUUGCUUCCUUGGGGGACUUAAUGAAGGAGCAGCAUUUGGACAGGAGGGAAAGAGCUUUGGAGUUGUCAAAAAGCACUAGUUAAAAAGCUUCAAACUGGGUCUUGCCAGUGUGUAACUGCUGUGGAAGAAAACAUUUGAAAACAAAACAUGCAUUUUUAAUAAAUGGAGACAUAAAAGUUA